UCGGGAAUUUUGGGCAAUGGGGGAAACCCUGACCCAGCAACGCCGCGUGAAGGAUGAAGUAUUUCGGUAUGUAAACUUCGAAAGAAUAGGAAGAAUAAAUGACGGUACUAUUUAUAAGGUCCGGCUAACUACGUGCCAGCAGCCGCGGUAAUACGUAGGGACCAAGCGUUGUUCGGAUUUACUGGGCAUAAAGGGCGCGUAGGCGGCAUGACAAGUCACUUGUGAAAUCUCUGGGCUUAACCCAGAACGGCCAAGUGAUACUGUCGCGCUAGAGUGCAGAAGGGGCAAUCGGAAUUCUUGGUGUAGCGGUGAAAUGCGUAGAUAUCAAGAGGAACACCUGAGGUGAAGACGGGUUGCUGGGCUGACACUGACGCUGAGGCGCGAAAGCCAGGGGAGCAAACGGGAUUAGAUACCCCAGUAGCCCUGAGCGGGCUGGCAAGGCGCAU
This 446-nucleotide ribosomal RNA is filed under the name uncultured bacterium. Its description in RNAcentral is "bacterial SSU rRNA". It matches the Rfam family "Bacterial small subunit ribosomal RNA", at positions 355 to 825 of the family's 1533-position model. The record is from RNAcentral.